UAGAAAGUGGUGUAGUGGGAGCACUUAGAGUUUUGAUCUCUACAGGGUGGGUUCAAGUCCCUUUUUUCUAA
This 71-nucleotide transfer RNA is filed under the name Clupeichthys goniognathus (Sumatran river sprat). RNAcentral's name for it is "tRNA-Gln". It matches the Rfam family "tRNA". From Rfam's summary of the family: Transfer RNA (tRNA) molecules are approximately 80 nucleotides in length. Their secondary structure includes four short double-helical elements and three loops (D, anti-codon, and T loops). Further hydrogen bonds mediate the characteristic L-shaped molecular structure. tRNAs have two regions of fundamental functional importance: the anti-codon, which is responsible for specific mRNA codon recognition, and the 3' end, to which the tRNAs corresponding amino acid is attached (by aminoacyl-tRNA synthetases). tRNAs cope with the degeneracy of the genetic code in two manners: having more than one tRNA (with a specific anti-codon) for a particular amino acid; and 'wobble' base-pairing, i.e. permitting non-standard base-pairing at the 3rd anti-codon position. The record is from RNAcentral. Lineage: Eukaryota; Metazoa; Chordata; Actinopteri; Clupeiformes; Clupeidae.